This is a non-coding RNA of Podarcis lilfordi (Lilford's wall lizard), 67 nucleotides long. The record is from the annotation of a GenBank genome assembly. NCBI's taxonomy places the organism in Eukaryota, Metazoa, Chordata, Lepidosauria, Squamata, Lacertidae.
AGUGGUACCAUAGCUCAGUGGUACAGCAUCUGCAAGCUGAAGAUCCUGGGUUCAAACCCCAGCAUUU